AUUGAACGCUGGCGGCAUGCCUUACACAUGCAAGUCGAACGGCAGCACGGGAGCAAUCCUGGUGGCGAGUGGCGAACGGGUGAGUAAAGUAUCGGAACGUGCCCAGUCGUGGGGGAUAACGUAGCGAAAGUUACGCUAAUACCGCAUACGAUCUAUGGAUGAAAGCGGGGGAUCGCAAGACCUCGCCCGAUUGGAGCGGCCGAUAUAAGAUUAGGUAGUUGGUGGGGUAAAGGCUCACCAGGCCGACGAUCUGUAGCUGGUCUGAGAGGACGACCAGCCACACUGGGACUGAGACACGGCCCAGACUCCUACGGGAUGCAGCAGUGGGGAAUUUUGGACAAUGGGCGCAAGCCUGAUCCAGCCAUGCCGCGUGCAGGAUGAAGGCCUUCGGGUUGUAAACUGCUUCUGUACGGAACGAAAAGGUUUGACUUAAUACGUUGGACUCAUGACGGUACCGUAAGAAUAAGCACCGGCUAACUACGUGCCAGCAGCCGCAGUAA
RNAcentral lists this ribosomal RNA (500 nucleotides) under uncultured bacterium. RNAcentral's name for it is "partial 16S ribosomal RNA". It matches the Rfam family "Bacterial small subunit ribosomal RNA", at positions 30 to 523 of the family's 1533-position model. The record is from RNAcentral.